Molecule: small nuclear RNA, 107 nt
Filed under: Carlito syrichta (Philippine tarsier)
Lineage: Eukaryota; Metazoa; Chordata; Mammalia; Primates; Tarsiidae
Source: RNAcentral
GUGUUCACUUCAGCAGCACAUAUACUAAGAUGGGAAUGAUACAGAGAAGAUUUGCACAGCCCCUGUGCCAGGAUGACACACAAGUUCAUGAAACAUUUCCAGAAAUU